Molecule: long non-coding RNA, 3164 nt
Organism: Acipenser ruthenus (sterlet)
Lineage: Eukaryota; Metazoa; Chordata; Actinopteri; Acipenseriformes; Acipenseridae
Exons: 5
Source: RefSeq, a predicted model, not a curated record
GAGGCUGCGCUUGUUGAGCCUGGAUGAUAUGGAGCGGCUGGCGACCUGCAUGCUUCACCCUGAGGCUGUGGAGUGCAUGGAGCUGUCCUUCCUGGACUGAGGAAUACUGCUGCUGCCCUCUCCACCUCUCCCCUCUCUUCUCCCCUCUCUCCUCUCCUCUUUACUCUCUCCUCCCCCUCUCCUCUCCUCUCCUUACUUUGUUUAAAAGAAUAGAAGCACACCCAGUGAGCAAGGCAUUGAGCAGCCCCACAUCCCGCUUCACAAUACCGCUACAUAUUGACUGACUGUUUGCAUUGUGUACGUUUGGUAAGACAAACCACAUUUUCUACUUCUACUUUCUACGACUGGGCAAGUCAGCGGUUGUUUGAUAACAGAACAUAAAACAUCACAGAGUGGGUUGAACUGCGAUGCUGCAAAUCAAGGCCCUUUAAAAUGUGUACCUUCCCAGCUCAGGUAUUGCUGAGGUAAAGAGACACUUCCUACAGGAGAACAGGACGUUGUCAAGGAGGGGAUGUCGUCACGUGUCCUGAGGGCUUUCUUAAAAACAUUGUUUUAUUAUUUCUAAGCGUACGUUGUUACUGCCUUUUAGCUCUUGAGCAUAAUAAUCUCAAUCCCGUUUGAAAUGACACUAAGUGCAUUUGCAUGGUGCAGAUGAGGGAUGUCACUUCACUCGAGACUUGCGUACUGAUGAAGAUGUAGUUUCAGUGUUUAAUGCUCGUCCCCUCAGUGUGUGUCUGUGUGUUCUUGUCUCUUGACAGGUCUGUGAGGAUGAGAAGGUCUCCACAGUCUGGAGUCUGGUCUCUGACAGGCUCAACAUACCUGUCAAUCAACAGGGACUCCUCUACAAAAGCAAGGCGCUGGCAGAUGAGCACAGACUGUCACACGACUCCAUCGCUCCCGAUUCCAAGCUGAACUCGUUGUGACGCCCCCAACAGAGAAAGUGUCACCCGAGCAAGAACAGCACUCCGUGUCACCCCUCCUCUCAGACCUCACCCCUCACCCUCGCCUCACCCCUCCUGUCACACCUCACCCCUCGCCACACCCCUCCUCUCACACCUCACCCCUCCUCUCACCCAUCGCCUCAACCCUCCUGUCACCCCUCGCCCCUCCUCUCACCCCUCGCCUAACCCCUCCUCUCACGCCUCGCCUCACCCCGGGUCAGUGUGGCACAGCCUGCCUGCUCUUCUGAACAAACACUUCAGCCCUGCCGACGCAGUGAGAGUCUGGAGCAGCAACACAAGGAUUACGAGCGGAGGCUGCGCUUGUUGAGCCUGGAUGAUAUGGAGCGGCUUGCGACCCGCAUGCUUCACCCUGAGGCUGUGGAGUGCAUGGAGCUGUCCUUCCUGGACUGAGGAAUACUGCUGCUGCCCUCUCUUCUCCCCCUCUCCCCUCUCCUCUCCCCCUCUCCCCUCUCCUCUCCACCUCUCCCCUCUCUUCUCCCCUCUCCCCUCUCUCCUCUCAUCUGUACUCUCUCCUCCCCCUGUCCUCUUCUCUCCUUAGUUUGUUUAAAAGAAUAGAAGCACACCCAGUGAGCAAGGCAUUGAGCAGCCCCACAUCCCGCUUCACAAUACCGCUACAUAUUGACUGACUGUUCGCAUUGUGUGUGUUUGGUAAGACAAACCACAUUUUCUACUUCUACUUUCUACGAUUGGGCAAGUCAGCGGUUGUUUGAUAACAGAACAUAAAACAUCACAGAGCGGGUUGAACUGCAUUGCUGCAAAUCAAGGCCCUUUCAAAUGUGUACCUUCCCAGCUCAGGUAUUGCUGAGGUAAAGAGACACUUCCUACAGGAGGACAGGACGUUGUCAAGGAGGGGAUGUCGUCACGUGUCCUGAGGGCUUUCUUAAAAACAUUGUUUUAUUAUUUCUAAGCGUACGUUGUUACUGCCUUUUAGCUCUUGAGCAUAAUAAUCUCAAUCCCGUUUGAAAUGACACUAAGUGCAUUUGCAUGGUGCAGAUGAGGGAUGUCGCUUCACUCGAGGCUUGUGUACUGAUGAAGAUGUAGUUUCAGUGUUUAAUGGUUAUCCCCUCACUGUGUGUGUGUGUGUGUGUGUGUGUGUGUGUGUGUGUGUGUUCUUGUCUCUCGCCUGUCCAGUGAGGAUGAAGAUGUAGUUUCAGUGUUUAAUGCUCAUCCCCUCACUGUGUGUUUGUGUGUUCUUGUCUCUUGACAGGUCUGUGAGGAUGAGAAGGUCUCCACAGUCUGGAGUCUGGUCUCUGACAGGCUCAACAUACCUGUCAAUCAACAGGGACUCCUCUACAAAGGCAAGGCGCUGGCAGAUGAGCACAGACUGUCACACGACUCCAUCGCUCCCGAUUCCAAGCUGAACUCGUUGUGACGCCCCCAACAGAGAAAGUGUCACCCUCGCAAGAACAGCACUCCCUGUGUCACCCCUCCUCUCAGACCUCACCCCUCACCCUCGCCUCACCCCUCCUGUCACACCUCACCCCUCGCCACACCCCUCCUCUCACACCUCACCCCUCCUCUCACCCAUCGCCUCAACCCUCCUGUCACCCCUCGCCCCUCCUCUCACCCCUCGCCUGACCCCUCCUCUCACGCCUCGCCUCACCCCGGGUCAGUGUGGCACAGCCUGCCUGCUCUUCUGAACAAACACUUCAGCCCUGCCGACGCAGUGAGAGUCUGGAGCAGCAACACAAGGAUUACGAGCGGAGGCUGCGCUUGUUGAGCCUGGAUGAUAUGGAGCGGCUGGCGACUCGCAUGCUUCACCCUGAGACUGUGGAGUGCAUGGAGCUGUCCUUCCUAGACUGAGGAAUACUGCUGCUGCCCUCUCCACCUCUCCCCUCUCUUCUCCCCUCUCCCCUCUCUCCUCUCCUCUUUACUCUCUCCUCCCCCUCUCCUCUCCUCUCCUUACUUUGUUUAAAAGAAUAGAAGCACACCCAGUGAGCAAGGCAUUGAGCAGCCCCACAUCCCGCUUCACAAUACCGCUACAUAUUGACUGACUGUUUGCAUUGUGUGUGUUUGGUAAGACAAACCACAUUUUCUACUUUCUGCUAUUUUAAAAGGAGCCCAGUUUGGUGCAGGAGGCUUGUGGGUAACAGAGUUGUUUUUGCUGGGGACUGCAGCCCUUCCAUUACCAUUGCUCGUAGAGGGGAGAUUGUUUUACUUUCAAGCCUUUUUCUUUAAUAAAUCCGGACGUUUGGAAAUACA